GAUUUACAUAAUCACACUUGCAGGACGAGAGCUAGCUACAUUGCAUCACAUCUGUGUAUCGUAUUUGCCAGAACUUCAGGAGCUAUCGAAUAUACUCUCAAUCAAGAAGCUCGUCACAGUCACGGAUAUGUUGACCAAGCAUAAGCUGAAAUAUCGCGAGAUGAUCAGCUAAACCUCGAGUGAAUCAGAGCGAAACUAGCACUACCGUGGCAACUGCCGUUGCAAUACAGCUCUCAGUUCUAAGUACAUAUUAGUGUUCAACUUAUUAUAUAAACUAUCUUGAAAUAUGUGCACGUGCUAAAUUAUGCAGUGGAUUUAAUACAAAAAGUUAUCUACAUUCUUUCUAUAUACAUAUAAGCCGUAUAUUGAAUAUAACCAUAUAUGUAAGUUAAUACAUAAAUAUAACAUUAAUAUUAAACAGCUGGCACAAAAUAAUAGGUCAAAAUAUAAGUGAAUAUUCAUAAAAAACAUGGCAAGUAGCCAAGAUUUACUCAAAAUAUGAACAAAGAAUGAAAUUAUAAGAAAAUCAAUACGA
Molecule: long non-coding RNA, 535 nt
Organism: Drosophila miranda
Lineage: Eukaryota; Metazoa; Arthropoda; Insecta; Diptera; Drosophilidae
Exons: 2
Source: RefSeq, a predicted model, not a curated record